RNAcentral lists this ribosomal RNA (2902 nucleotides) under Escherichia coli DEC8D. RNAcentral describes it as "bacterial LSU rRNA". It matches the Rfam family "Bacterial large subunit ribosomal RNA". The record is from RNAcentral. Lineage: Bacteria; Pseudomonadati; Pseudomonadota; Gammaproteobacteria; Enterobacterales; Enterobacteriaceae.
UUAAGCGACUAAGCGUACACGGUGGAUGCCCUGGCAGUCAGAGGCGAUGAAGGACGUGCUAAUCUGCGAUAAGCGUCGGUAAGGUGAUAUGAACCGUUAUAACCGGCGAUUUCCGAAUGGGGAAACCCAGUGUGUUUCGACACACUAUCAUUAACUGAAUCCAUAGGUUAAUGAGGCGAACCGGGGGAACUGAAACAUCUAAGUACCCCGAGGAAAAGAAAUCAACCGAGAUUCCCCCAGUAGCGGCGAGCGAACGGGGAGCAGCCCAGAGCCUGAAUCAGUAUGUGUGUUAGUGGAAGCGUCUGGAAAGGCGCGCGAUACAGGGUGACAGCCCCGUACACAAAAAUGCACAUGCUGUGAGCUCGAUGAGUAGGGCGGGACACGUGGUAUCCUGUCUGAAUAUGGGGGGACCAUCCUCCAAGGCUAAAUACUCCUGACUGACCGAUAGUGAACCAGUACCGUGAGGGAAAGGCGAAAAGAACCCCGGCGAGGGGAGUGAAAAAGAACCUGAAACCGUGUACGUACAAGCAGUGGGAGCACGCUUAGGCGUGUGACUGCGUACCUUUUGUAUAAUGGGUCAGCGACUUAUAUUCUGUAGCAAGGUUAACCGAAUAGGGGAGCCGAAGGGAAACCGAGUCUUAACUGGGCGUUAAGUUGCAGGGUAUAGACCCGAAACCCGGUGAUCUAGCCAUGGGCAGGUUGAAGGUUGGGUAACACUAACUGGAGGACCGAACCGACUAAUGUUGAAAAAUUAGCGGAUGACUUGUGGCUGGGGGUGAAAGGCCAAUCAAACCGGGAGAUAGCUGGUUCUCCCCGAAAGCUAUUUAGGUAGCGCCUCGUGAAUUCAUCUCCGGGGGUAGAGCACUGUUUCGGCAAGGGGGUCAUCCCGACUUACCAACCCGAUGCAAACUGCGAAUACCGGAGAAUGUUAUCACGGGAGACACACGGCGGGUGCUAACGUCCGUCGUGAAGAGGGAAACAACCCAGACCGCCAGCUAAGGUCCCAAAGUCAUGGUUAAGUGGGAAACGAUGUGGGAAGGCCCAGACAGCCAGGAUGUUGGCUUAGAAGCAGCCAUCAUUUAAAGAAAGCGUAAUAGCUCACUGGUCGAGUCGGCCUGCGCGGAAGAUGUAACGGGGCUAAACCAUGCACCGAAGCUGCGGCAGCGACGCUGAUGCGUUGUUGGGUAGGGGAGCGUUCUGUAAGCCUGUGAAGGUGUGCUGUGAGGCAUGCUGGAGGUAUCAGAAGUGCGAAUGCUGACAUAAGUAACGAUAAAGCGGGUGAAAAGCCCGCUCGCCGGAAGACCAAGGGUUCCUGUCCAACGUUAAUCGGGGCAGGGUGAGUCGACCCCUAAGGCGAGGCCGAAAGGCGUAGUCGAUGGGAAACAGGUUAAUAUUCCUGUACUUGGUGUUACUGCGAAGGGGGGACGGAGAAGGCUAUGUUGGCCGGGCGACGGUUGUCCCGGUUUAAGCGUGUAGGCUGGUUUUCCAGGCAAAUCCGGAAAACCAAGGCUGAGGCGUGAUGACGAGGCACUACGGUGCUGAAGCAACAAAUGCCCUGCUUCCAGGAAAAGCCUCUAAGCAUCAGGUAACAUCAAAUCGUACCCCAAACCGACACAGGUGGUCAGGUAGAGAAUACCAAGGCGCUUGAGAGAACUCGGGUGAAGGAACUAGGCAAAAUGGUGCCGUAACUUCGGGAGAAGGCACGCUGAUAUGUAGGUGAAGUCCCUCGCGGAUGGAGCUGAAAUCAGUCGAAGAUACCAGCUGGCUGCAACUGUUUAUUAAAAACACAGCACUGUGCAAACACGAAAGUGGACGUAUACGGUGUGACGCCUGCCCGGUGCCGGAAGGUUAAUUGAUGGGGUUAGCGCAAGCGAAGCUCUUGAUCGAAGCCCCGGUAAACGGCGGCCGUAACUAUAACGGUCCUAAGGUAGCGAAAUUCCUUGUCGGGUAAGUUCCGACCUGCACGAAUGGCGUAAUGAUGGCCAGGCUGUCUCCACCCGAGACUCAGUGAAAUUGAACUCGCUGUGAAGAUGCAGUGUACCCGCGGCAAGACGGAAAGACCCCGUGAACCUUUACUAUAGCUUGACACUGAACAUUGAGCCUUGAUGUGUAGGAUAGGUGGGAGGCUUUGAAGUGUGGACGCCAGUCUGCAUGGAGCCGACCUUGAAAUACCACCCUUUAAUGUUUGAUGUUCUAACGUUGACCCGUAAUCCGGGUUGCGGACAGUGUCUGGUGGGUAGUUUGACUGGGGCGGUCUCCUCCUAAAGAGUAACGGAGGAGCACGAAGGUUGGCUAAUCCUGGUCGGACAUCAGGAGGUUAGUGCAAUGGCAUAAGCCAGCUUGACUGCGAGCGUGACGGCGCGAGCAGGUGCGAAAGCAGGUCAUAGUGAUCCGGUGGUUCUGAAUGGAAGGGCCAUCGCUCAACGGAUAAAAGGUACUCCGGGGAUAACAGGCUGAUACCGCCCAAGAGUUCAUAUCGACGGCGGUGUUUGGCACCUCGAUGUCGGCUCAUCACAUCCUGGGGCUGAAGUAGGUCCCAAGGGUAUGGCUGUUCGCCAUUUAAAGUGGUACGCGAGCUGGGUUUAGAACGUCGUGAGACAGUUCGGUCCCUAUCUGCCGUGGGCGCUGGAGAACUGAGGGGGGCUGCUCCUAGUACGAGAGGACCGGAGUGGACGCAUCACUGGUGUUCGGGUUGUCAUGCCAAUGGCACUGCCCGGUAGCUAAAUGCGGAAGAGAUAAGUGCUGAAAGCAUCUAAGCACGAAACUUGCCCCGAGAUGAGUUCUCCCUGACUCCUUGAGAGUCCUGAAGGAACGUUGAAGACGACGACGUUGAUAGGCCGGGUGUGUAAGCGCAGCGAUGCGUUGAGCUAACCGGUACUAAUGAACCGUGAGGCUUAACCUU